GAUGGGAGACGCCCCUGGAGGUGCGUUCUGGAGCCAGGGAGGUUGUGAGUGAGGCUGUGGCUUUGGAACCUCCCUACCUUGCUGCUACUGUCAUCUUUACUGUUAUUUCUGCCAUGUUAGUCUGGGCUGGUGGUUGCUGUCGUUCUCUACCGCAGACACAAAACCGGACAAUACCCUAAGGGUCCCCGAGGAUCAAUGCAGAGCCUAGCCUUCAGUGACACUUCCAUGGACCGACGCAGCACCACUUCCAAACUCUCAGACCAGUUCCAGCCACCACCACCACGCCGACCGACCGUCACAACUGUUGAAAAUGAAUAUCGUAAUGGUCGUCACUAAAUGGCAAUUAAUAAAGCUGUGAUGCAUAACCAACUAAAAGUUUUGUUCAUUAGUGAGGAAUAGUUUCAUCAUGUUCUUUUGCAGAGCGAGUUACUUGCAGUUGUAAUAUGCAUGAAAUAUAUUAGAACGUGACAAAAGUUCACAAGUGGAAACUAAAUUUCAAGAUACCCUUCAGAAAUGGAAAUGGCAGAAGUUUUUUGCAAUCCCGAGGCUGCUUCAUCAGUGCCAUGGGACAAUAACAGUAGAAAUAUGCAAGAAUCACACUAGGCUUGGGCAACAAAGCUUCAAGCUUUAACCCAAGCUGUGUGUGUGAUUCUUGCAUAUUCCUCCUGUCUUUUUCUCAUGGCACUCAUGAAUCAUCUUUAAUUAACGAUUGCAAAAGAGAUUCUGCCAACAAUGUUCCCAUUUUUGGAGAGCGUUUUGAUACGUUAGAAUAUGCAGGAUGAUAAUGUGUGAAAUAUUUAGAUUAUAAACAUUUAGAAUGCUUUUUAGAGUAUUCAAAAUCAUUACAUUAGUGUUUAUUACCAUCUACAAAAAAUGACCUACAAUGAAAGUGUCAUGUUUUAGUGAUUUGCUGGAGUAACAUCCAUGCAUAAAGAUUGUGGCAUAGGCUAUGUACAUAGAGUACAGAAGAUGAUUUAUGCCACCAUUUUACAUCACAUAGCCAAUUUGCACAUGAAAGCAUUAAAUAAUAAAUAACUCAUGUUGCAGUAGUGAAACUUGGCAGCCAUAGAAGUACUCUUUAAAAGCAAAUGAUGCACUAAGUAAUCCAUGAGAGUUUAGUGCUUUUUGUGGAUGCAAUAACAAACACAAAUUGAACUUUUGCCACUAAAUGAAAGGAAGGAAGGUUGUGAGUAGGAUCACAUACAUGAUUCUGCAAGUAUUAAUAUUUUACAGAUUGUAUUAUUAGUUAUUUUUAUGACAUUUGUAAUAAAAAAUUAAGAUGUCUGAAAAUGGUGAAAAAGAUAUUUUUGUAAAAACUAGUUAAUGCCCACACUGAUAACUCUAAAAGGCAUUCCUGUCUAUAAAAGAAAUGCAGUUAAAGAAAUUUUUAUUAAUUUUUGGGUAAACACUUAAAUUUUGGCAACUUUUUUAGAUUUAAAAGAUUUUGAAUAAUAUCCACCAAGCAAUUGAAGACUAACACUAGCUUUGGAAUGUGGAUCUACAGUAAAACUGUUCUUGAUUCAUUUUCAGGCUUCAUGAUGGCAACUAUUACAUAGCAUAGUGUUUGGUCAAAUGAAUACUAAAGUUACUUAAUUUUCUCAGGCUGAAGACAAAUCAUAACACUCACCUACAUACAAAUAUUUUAGAAGAUAUCAGAGCUAUAGGCAUUAAUUCCAAUACAACUUGAGAAUGGUAAUUACAUCUCAAAGAAGAGUAUGCUAAGGAAGCUAGUUUAAAGCAUUGAAACACAAGUACCCCGGUAACAGAGCUGUGAGAUCGUUCACUUUAAUUUAUGAUACAAAAUUACGGACAUAAUGAAUAUCUAUCUUGUUUGAGUGUCAGUUUCCUAAAUACAGUUGACCAAUAUCUCUCAAACAUUCAGUGUUCCCAGUGCUCAAACAGACUUGCAUUAUUAUUAUUAAUGCCCGAGUCAAAACGCUGUUCUUAAUAUUACUUUAUAUUACUCUAUUUUGGCGAUUCUCUUGAAACAAGAUUAUGCUUUUUACAUACAUACAGCUGCUGCCUCUGCCUCCACCUAUCUCCUGCCCCCCGUGGAGAAGGGGGAGAGAGGAUCUGGUAGUGACCAGAGAAGAGGCAGGGCCAGGAGCUAUGACUCAACUCCUGCAACCACAAAUAUGUAAGCAAGUACAUACAUACAUAUAUACAUGCAUGUAUGCAUACAUACAUGCUGGUCAUAAUACUGAAAAUGCACAAACAUCUCUAGCACAUUUAUAUUUUAAGGUAGAGUCUGUCAGAUAAGCUGAAUUUCCUUAAGAUAUUUUCAUAA
This is a non-coding RNA of Cherax quadricarinatus, 2287 nucleotides long. Lineage: Eukaryota; Metazoa; Arthropoda; Malacostraca; Decapoda; Parastacidae. The record is from RefSeq and is a predicted model, not a curated record.